This 497-nucleotide ribosomal RNA is filed under the name uncultured bacterium. Its description in RNAcentral is "partial 16S ribosomal RNA". It matches the Rfam family "Bacterial small subunit ribosomal RNA", at positions 28 to 507 of the family's 1533-position model. The record is from RNAcentral.
GAUGAACGCUGGCGGCGUGCCUAAUACAUGCAAGUCGAGCGAACAGACGAGGAGCUUGCUCCUUCGACGUUAGCGGCGGACGGGUGAGUAACACGUAGGUAACCUACCUAUAAGACUGGGAUAACUUCGGGAAACCGGAGCUAAUACCGGAUAAUAUUUCAAACCGCAUGGUUCGAUAGUGAAAGAUGGCUUUGCUAUCACUUAUAGAUGGACCUGCGCCGUAUUAGCUAGUUGGUAAGGUAACGGCUUACCAAGGUAACGAUACGUAGCCGACCUGAGAGGGUGAUCGGCCACACUGGAACUGAGACACGGUCCAGACUCCUACGGGAGGCAGCAGUAGGGAAUCUUCCGCAAUGGGCGAAAGCCUGACGGAGCAACGCCGCGUGAGUGAUGAAGGUCUUCGGAUCGUAAAACUCUGUUAUUAGGGAAGAACAAACGUGUAAGUAACUGUGCACGUCUUGACGGUACCUAAUCAGAAAGCCACGGCUAACUACGUG